This 390-nucleotide ribosomal RNA is filed under the name uncultured Streptococcus sp. RNAcentral's name for it is "bacterial SSU rRNA". It matches the Rfam family "Bacterial small subunit ribosomal RNA", at positions 991 to 1382 of the family's 1533-position model. Lineage: Bacteria; Bacillati; Bacillota; Bacilli; Lactobacillales; Streptococcaceae. The record is from RNAcentral.
GAUGCUAUUCUAGAGAUAGAAAGUUACUUCGGUACAUCGGUGACAGGUGGUGCAUGGUUGUCGGUCAGCUCGUGUCGUGAGAUGUUGGGUUAAGUCCCGCAACGAGCGCAACCCCUAUUGUUAGUUGCCAUCAUUCAGUUGGGCACUCUAGCGAGACUGCCGGUAAUAAACCGGAGGAAGGUGGGGAUGACGUCAAAUCAUCAUGCCCCUUAUGACCUGGGCUACACACGUGCUACAAUGGUUGGUACAACGAGUUGCGAGUCGGUGACGGCGAGCUAAUCUCUUAAAGCCAAUCUCAGUUCGGAUUGUAGGCUGCAACUCGCCUACAUGAAGUCGGAAUCGCUAGUAAUCGCGGAUCAGCACGCCGCGGUGAAUACGUUCCCGGGCCUU